Molecule: ribosomal RNA, 853 nt
Filed under: Amanita ochracea
Lineage: Eukaryota; Fungi; Basidiomycota; Agaricomycetes; Agaricales; Amanitaceae
Description: eukaryotic LSU rRNA
Rfam family: Eukaryotic large subunit ribosomal RNA
Source: RNAcentral
CUAACAAGGAUUCCCCUAGUAACUGCGAGUGAAGCGGGAAAAGCUUCAAAUUAAAAUCUGGCAGUGGUUCACUGCCCGAGUUGUAAUCUAGAGAAGUGUUGCUCACACUGGACCAUGUAUAAGUCUUCUGGAAUGAAGCGUCAUAGAGGGUGAGAAUCCCGUCUUUGACAUGGACUCCCAGUGUAUUUGUAGCAUGCUCUCAAAGAGUCGAGUUGUUUGGGAAUGCAGCUCUAAAUGGGUGGUAACCUCCAUCUAAAGCUAAAUAUUGGCGAGAGACCGAUMGUGAACAAGUACCGUGAGGGAAAGAUGAAAAGAACUUUGGAAAGAGAGUUAAAAAGUACGUGAAAUUGUUGAAAGGGAAACGCUUGAAGUCAGUCACAUUGGCCAGGGAUCAACUUGCUUAAGUGUACUUCCUGGCUGAUGGGCCAACAUCAGCUUUGACUGUCAGAGAAGGGUAGGGGGAAUGUGGCACCCUUCUUGGGUGUGUUAUAGCCCUCUGUCAUAUAUGGCCGUUGGGGCUGAGGAAUGCAGCGCGCCACAAGGCCGGGCUUCGACCACGUUCGCGCUUAGGAUGUUGGCAUAAUGGCUUUAAUCGACCCGUCUUGAAACACGGACCAAGGAGUCUAACAUGCCUGCGAGUGUUUGGGUGGAAAACCCGAGUGCAUAAUGAAAGUGAAAGUUGAGAUCCCUGUCAUGGGGUGCAUCGACGCCGGACUUGAGCUUUCUAGCAAUGGCUCUGCGGUAUAGCAUGUAUGUUGGGACCCGAAAGAUGGUGAACUAUGCCUGAAUAGGGCGAAGCCAGAGGAAACUCUGGUGGAGGCUCGUAGCGAUUCUGACGUGCAAAUCGAUCGUC